This is a long non-coding RNA of Pleuronectes platessa (European plaice), 2020 nucleotides long. RefSeq lists it as uncharacterized. The record is from RefSeq and is a predicted model, not a curated record. The transcript is spliced from 3 exons. NCBI's taxonomy places the organism in Eukaryota, Metazoa, Chordata, Actinopteri, Pleuronectiformes, Pleuronectidae.
UAUAUAUAACCUUUCAAAUAGAAUAAUAAUCAUAUAAACCAUUUAGUUAUUUGGUUUGUGUCACUAACAGAUGUUGGAUAUCAUCGGUGGGAUGUAACCAAGCACAAUUACUUUGUUAUUGUACAUUUUUCAUGUAUCUGUACUAGAGUAUAUUUAUUUUCUGGUACUUUUCUCUUUUACUCCACCGCAUAUAUCAGCAAAUAUCUGAACUUUGUGCUUCACUAUGUUUUUUAACAAUGUAUUGAGUUACAGCUGAAAUUGAUUUGGAAACAGGUCGCUGUAGAGACUCGAUCAUUAAUUAAUAUGUGAAUGAAAAGUGUUUCCAGUGGCAUCAUCUCCAGCUCUCUUUACUUUCUGGAUAUGACAGAGUCUGCACUGUUUUAUCAAACAUAAUAUACAGUUAUACAUGAAGUAGACCAUUGCAUAAGGGAGUAGGCUACACUCUGGAAGUACUCUUACUUUUAAUACUUAAAAUUAUAUUGUAAAGCACUUACUUUUACCUAAGUAUAAAAGGGAAUGUAGUACGAUUACUUUGACAUCUUUUUAUUUGUACUUCAUUAAAAUGAUCGGGUACUUCCUCUUCCACUGUUUGAUAUCUUAUCUCCUUUGUGUCUUUGGUGUAAUAAGGAAACUGCCGCAGCCACAUAGUGUUGCUGUACCUGGACCAGCCGAUGUUGAUGUUGUCUCCUGACACCACACAGGGGAGCAGAGCUCUGCUGCCUUCAGACACCUGGAUGUUGUUUGGGGCCGUGGUGAUCUUCAGAUAAAGUAGUGAAGUGCAUGGCAGUGACUGGAUGAUGGAGGUCAACACACCUUGGACUCUGAGUUGCAGUUGUCUCUGCUCCAGCUGCUGCAGACUGGAGGCGGUGCACGUGUAGACCCCGGAGUCAUCAGACUUCAGGCCGCCGACGAUCAGCGUGCCAUCGGACUUCUGGGCUUGUAUUGAGACCGAAGCUGCGUGUGAUCACCUGGAGUCAGUGAGGGUCCGUCCAUCUUUUGUCCACUGAACGCUGACAGACUGCAGAGCUGACGGAGGGACGAUGGUGCAGGGCAGCCGGACAGUUUGUCCCGCUCGCGUUUCCAGCAAAGAGGAACUCGAACGGUCAAUACUGAACCUGAGGGAGAAGGUCAGGGGAGUCGAUAUCAUUUAUAGAGCCGCAAAUUAUUAGAAGAAUUGAGAUUUACUGACAUUUUCCACAUCUACAGGUGCUUAUGUAACUGUAAAUUGCAAUAGGUUUGAUAUUGGGAACAUUUAUUAAAGCUUUUAUUGACAGUCUAGAUUUGACUCACCGAGGGAACGGCCCGUCCCUGGGGAGGGAGGUGGGAAUCAGCAGAGACGAUCCCUCUAAGUGAAACACAUAUAUACGAUGAGCGCUCCCGUCAUAAUUCACUUACAUAAUCUCAAAUCAACACAUUCACAAAGACUCAGCAUGCUUUGACUUCAGCUGUGACAUCAGGGCUUCUCCCCCAGUCUUCAGGAUUUACGUGUGACCAACUAAUUGGGGUUAAAGUCGGUCAAAUUAGGGUUUGGACCAAUUCUGGCCCCAAUUAUCUGACUGUACGUGGAGUGAUCGAGUCUUUAUAUAUACAAUCUGCAAUUUUGCAUAUCCUUCAUGUAACACAUCUAUGGUUGUUUCAAAAGUGGUAAGUGGGAAAGUAGUGAAUAAAAUGGUUUUUUUAUCACAAUCUUUAAUUUGCUGUUCUAUGUUUUUAUGAAAUCGGUGUAAAUGUACGACCUCACCUGAGACGGAGAGGUAAAUGUAGCGGUGAUCUCUCUCACGCUCCCGAGUGGCCAAGCACAAAAACCAACCAGAGUCCGAAUUGGUGAGAGGACCAACCAAUAGGGAGCCAUUGGGCUGCUGGUGAUGCCUGAGGAAAAAAACAAAGAUCACCACCCAGUGGAGCCAGAGCCCAUUCUUUUACCAGAUUCACACGAGGUCAUCGUGACUUGUGACCUUUCACCAUUGAUCAGUUCAUCUUUGGAUCCAAGUGACAACUGGUCAGAAUGUGAAGAAAUGUC